Molecule: ribosomal RNA, 497 nt
Filed under: uncultured bacterium
Lineage: Bacteria
Description: partial 16S ribosomal RNA
Rfam family: Bacterial small subunit ribosomal RNA
Source: RNAcentral
GAUGAACGCUGGCGGCGUGCCUAAUACAUGCAAGUCGAGCGAACAGAUGAGGAGCUUGCUCCUCUGACGUUAGCGGCGGACCGGUGAGUAACACGUGGAUAACCUACCUAUAAGACUGGGAUAACUUCGGGAAACCGGAGCUAAUACCGGAUAAUAUAUUGAACCGCAUGGUUCAAUAGUGAAAGACGGUUUUGCUGUCACUUAUAGAUGGAUCCGCGCCGCAUUAGCUAGUUGGUAAGGUAACGGCUUACCAAGGCAACGAUGCGUAGCCGACCUGAGAGGGUGAUCGGCCACACUGGAACUGAGACACGGUCCAGACUCCUACGGGAGGCAGCAGUAGGGAAUCUUCCGCAAUGGGCGAAAGCCUGACGGAGCAACGCCGCGUGAGUGAUGAAGGUCUUCGGAUCGUAAAACUCUGUUAUUAGGGAAGAACAAAUGUGUAAGUAACUAUGCACGUCUUGACGGUACCUAAUCAGAAAGCCACGGCUAACUACGUG